UGGGGAAUAUUGCACAAUGGGCGCAAGCCUGAUGCAGCCAUGCCGCGUGUAUGAAGAAGGCCUUCGGGUUGUAAAGUACUUUCAGCGGGGAGGAAGGGAGUAAAGUUAAUACCUUUGCUCAUUGACGUUACCCGCAGAAGAAGCACCGGCUAACUCCGUGCCAGCAGCCGCGGUAAUACGGAGGGUGCAAGCGUUAAUCGGAAUUACUGGGCGUAAAGCGCACGCAGGCGGUUUGUUAAGUCAGAUGUGAAAUCCCCGGGCUCAACCUGGGAACUGCAUCUGAUACUGGCAAGCUUGAGUCUCGGAGAGGGGGGUAGAAUUCCAGGUGUAGCGGUGAAAUGCGUAGAGAUCUGGGGGAAUACCGGUGGCGAAGGCGGCCCCCUGGACGAAGACUGACGCUCAGGUGCGAAAGCGUGGGGAGCAAACAGG
Molecule: ribosomal RNA, 429 nt
Filed under: Chloroflexota bacterium
Lineage: Bacteria; Bacillati; Chloroflexota
Description: Chloroflexi bacterium partial 16S ribosomal RNA
Rfam family: Bacterial small subunit ribosomal RNA
Source: RNAcentral